This 498-nucleotide ribosomal RNA is filed under the name uncultured bacterium. Its description in RNAcentral is "partial 16S ribosomal RNA". It matches the Rfam family "Bacterial small subunit ribosomal RNA", at positions 30 to 523 of the family's 1533-position model. The record is from RNAcentral.
AUUGAACGCUGGCGGCAUGCCUUACACAUGCAAGUCGAACGGUAACUGGUCUUCGGAUGCUGACGAGUGGCGAACGGGUGAGUAAUACAUCGGAACGUGCCUAGUAGUGGGGGAUAACUACUCGAAAGAGUGGCUAAUACCGCAUGAGAUCUACGGAUGAAAGCAGGGGAUCGCAAGACCUUGUGCUACUAGAGCGGCCGAUGGCAGAUUAGGUAGUUGGUGGGAUAAAAGCUUACCAAGCCGACGAUCUGUAGCUGGUCUGAGAGGACGAUCGGCCACACUGGGACUGAGACACGGCCCAGACUCCUACGGGAGGCAGCAGUGGGGCAUUUUGGACAAUGGGCGCAAGCCUGAUCCAGCAAUGCCGCGUGCAGGAUGAAGGCCUUCGGGUUGUAAACUGCUUUUGUACGGAACGAAAAGCCCUGGGUUAAUACCCUGGGGUCAUGACGGUACCGUAAGAAUAAGCACCGGCUAACUACGUGCCAGCCGCCGCGGUAA